UAUUUCUCUCUAGUGUGUUGACGUAAAACUCUGUAACAAUUCUCAAAAAAUGUCUGUAGGAAGGGGUGAGUUUUGUCCAUAAUUUAUAUCUACCGUUGGCUGUAACUUAAAAUUCUGAAAAAAUUCUCAAAAAAUGUCUGUAUGGAGAGUAACAUCUGUGAUUAUUUGCAGAAUUUUUGGACACCUCCUUUAGGUUAAAAAAUUCACU
This is a long non-coding RNA of Bradysia coprophila, 208 nucleotides long. The record is from RefSeq and is a predicted model, not a curated record. Lineage: Eukaryota; Metazoa; Arthropoda; Insecta; Diptera; Sciaridae.